UCUAUGGGGCAGGGCGGUAAAUUGGACAUUGUUCUCUUUUGGCUGCCGUUGUCAGUCACACAUUAUUUUUUAUUUUUUCUGAAAAUCUUGAUAACACCAUUGUGGAGUUUUAAUUUUAUUAUUUCAGCAAAUAAGAUUGUUAAAAAAAUUGUUGUACUCUCCCUUUCCCUGCGCUCUAUGUUUACCCAACUAUGACGACUUCUGCUGCUGAGAAACCCAGAAACAUGAAAACUGAGGGUUCAUUAAUCUAAUCAAAAGUGAUUUUAGCUAUCAUAGUCAGUUCCUUAGCAAUUGUAGAGAAGGCAACACAGAGACACUGAAGCUAGCACUGGAUUCCUGCGCUACUUCAGUGUGCAAGCAUGACAUUUGUAACUUUUUUGUAUUUAUUUGUCAUUAUUUCCCAUGGCAUAACCAAUUGUUUCCAUGAUAGUCUUUAUCUUUAGAUAACCUUUUAAAAGUGUGCUUAACAUCGAGCAGUCUGCUUCUCCACGGUGUCGUCUGGAUCCUUAAAUUGCAAAAGCCCUUUAAUUUUCAAUGGAUUCUGAUUUGCUGACAGUGUUUUAUCUGCUGGGGAAAAUCAUUCUUGAAGUCAUCUCAGUGAUAUUGUUCUUCUGUAUCUUUAUCGUUGUGGUGUGAACUGUGCUAUUUUUUAACACUGUGAAUGAUUUUUAGAACUCUUUUAAUAGUUAUUUUUUUAUCGUUAUCAUGCUUGGUAUGUACGGGCCUCAAGUUUCCUUAUUUCUCUUAUUUCAAGUGAUCCGUCACCCCAUAAUGUUUUCCACAUAUCAUAGGUAACUUCUGUUAAUCUGUAAUUAGGUAGGGAUUUAUAUCAAAAACUGGACACAGUGAGGUCACGCUGGGUCUCAUUUACCCAUGUCGUCUUAAGAAUUUUCUUAAAAGUGUUUCUUAGAAGCAUAAGAGCAAACUACGCCGGAUUCACAAUAUGAAUUUUAUUAAAAAAUUAUUUGCAUGUGCCAGUUUCUCCAAAUGACAUUAAGAUACUGUAUAAUUCUUAAAUAAUAAGUACUUAUGAUUUACUUAUGAUGUAUAUAAAAUACUUUAAAAGAAGAAAAUACAUUUACCAACUGGCUUUGACUCAUCCAGACUGCAAAACUAGGCUAACAAAGGCUACUCAUGGUGUUUUCAAGCUUAAGUGUAUUACAUAAAAAUUAUUGAAGUUUAUUUAUGCUGCUUUUAAUUGAUAAAAUAUAAUAUUUCUCAGUAUAGUUUGGUUUUGUCUGGCCAAAACUGGAAAUUUUGUCAUCAUUCUCCAAUUGGUCUGCUGUGAACAUGAAACAAGAAUGUUGGAAACCAGUUACCAUAGACUUUCGUUGUAUUUUUUUGUUCUUACUAUGGGAAGAGUUUUAUGAAAGUUUAGAACCACUUAAGUGUGAGGAAAUCGUGAGGAAAUUAACAUUUUGGGGUGAACUAUCCCUUUAAGCACAGUACAAGUGAUGUCUGUGCUCAUUGAGUGGGUGUGGCCUCUCUGGCACCAGAUGAGGUCAUCGCUGCCCCCUGCUGCUCACUGUUAGUAUUGCAGCUCUCAGAUCAUCCUAAAUAUUACACUGACAGACUGAAGGCCUCGGUUCUUUAUAAACUUUUUUUUGUUUGUUUGUUUUGCAUGAGGGUUUAUGAAAAAGCCUGUGUGUCUAUUUAAAGUGCAAUGAGUCAGCCAACUUCAUAUCUGCACAGCUUUUUCCCUUUUUUGUAGUGAGUUUUCUCCUUAUUUCCUGAGUUUUUGUUUAUUUGUGAUGUUAUCAAGAUUUUACAUAGCUUACAUGCAAUAGGCUGAUUUCUGCCCCUUUUCAUAUGAACACACUGUUUUGUUAAACCUUUAACAGGCACAUUUUUAAAAAAUAAAAUGGGUAAAGUUGAUUUGCAGAUACCAAACUAAGCAAUUUUUCAGUUUUGUUUUACUGAUAACACAUUCAUAUAUGGUCAGUCAUGCAGCUACAGUGCUUGUUAAAUGAUUAAUUAGAAUCAGUGAACAUAGAAACUUAUUGAUUUACAAUAAAUAAAUGUCAUUGCAUCACUGUCAAUCUAAAUGUCAUAAUGUCAACAUGUCAUUGUGUAAAAGCUUCUUUCUUAAUCACUUCAGUUUCUUGCUUUCUUUACUUAAAUUCUGCUUUUCUCAUUCUGUCAUAUUUUGUCUUGUUUUCUCCUCCUCUCUUCAUACUUUUUCUUCUGGUCAUAUCUAGCAAGAGAAUCCCAUAUACAAGAGCCCCAUUAAUAAAUUCCAGAAUCCAAGUUAUGGAAAUAAAGGCGUCGCGCUCUGAGGUGAAAACCCCAUUUACAAGAGCGCUGUGACAACGGUGGUCAACCCUAAAUAUGAGGGCAAAUAAUGGACGAACGUGUCUAUCCCCAAUCUACACUGUAUGCAGAACAAUUCAAGAGGAACAGAAGCGUUGAAGUUCACUUUGUUUCUUUAACUUUUUAAUUUUUUUUGCAUUUUUUUAAAACCACCUAUCGGCUGUGCAUUUGCCACUGUUCAGUAUAAUCAAUUAACCUGUGUUUCUAUGCAUCCUUUAGAAACUGUACAGUAUGUAUAAACUUGAGUUUUUACUUUUUUAUGCAAAAAAAAAAAAUCCAAUGUUCAAUUUUGAUUUUUAGCCACAGAUCUGCCUUGUUUUUUUGAAUGUUAAAAGCCGUCACAUUGGGAUAGAUGACAGGGGUUUUAUAGGUAAGAUAAGGUCAAGUCUGCAUUAAGAAUGUUGUUUGAGACGCAAUAGAUAAAUAUUCAAGGAACACUCCGCUUUUUGGGGGGAAAUAGGCUUUUUUACAAUCCUCCAAGUGUUACACAACUAAGUUUUACCUUAUUGAAUCCAUUCAGCCAAUUCCUGGGUCUGGCAGGAGCGCUUUUAGCUUAGCAUAAAUCAUUGAGUCGGAUUAGACCAGUAGCAUCUCGCUCAAAGUCAAAAAGUCAUUUUUCCUAUUUAAAACUUGACUCUUUUUGUAGUGACGCUGUGUAAUAAGACUGAUGGAAAAUGAUAAGUAGCUUGCUUUGGGCUAUUUUCAGGUUUUGUAUAAUAUCAUUGUGCCUGCUGUAGCCAUGAUAUGGCAGCAAAGUUCCUUGAUUAUUACACCAGAAGGAAAGUAUAGUUCCUAGCCAUAUCAGCCUAAAGAAAAUAGCAGCUUUCCAUGGAGUUUUUACAUUUUUUAUGCAAUCUUUGAAAAUCUCAAUGUUCCCUUGACUUUUAGCCACAGAUCUGCCUUGUUUUUCUGAAUGUUAAAAGCCGUCACAUUAGGAUAGAUGACAGAGGUUUUGUUGGUAAGAUAAGGUCAAGUCUGCAUUAAGAAUGUUGUUUGAGACAUAAUAGAUUGAAAUUUGAGGAACACUUCGCUUUUUUUGGAAAUAAGCUUUUUUCACAAGCCCCCAAGUGUUAAACAAUCGAGUUUUGCCUUGUUCAAUCCAUUCAGUCGAUAUCUGGGUCUGGCGGGAGCACUCUUAGCUUAGCUUAGCAUAAAUCAUUGAAUCAGAUUAGACCGUUAGCAUCUCACUAAAAGUCAAAAAGUCGUUUUUCCUAUUGAAAACUUGACUCUUUUUGUAGUUAUGCUGUGUAAUAAGACUGUUGGAAAAUGAUAAGUAGAGACUAUUUUCAGGUUUUGUUUAAUAUCAUUGUGCCUUCUGCAGCCAUGACAUGGCAGCAAAGUUCCUUGAUUAUUACACCAGAAUGAAAGUAUAAAUCCUAGUCAUGUCAGCCUAAAGAAAGCAGCUUUCCAUUGAGUUUUUACUUUUUUUAUGUAAUCUUUGAAAAUCUCAAUGUUCCCUUGACUUUUAGCCACAGAUCUGCCUUGUUUUUGCUGAAUGUUAAAAGCCGACGCAUUGGGAUAGAUGACAGGGGUUUUGUAGGUAAGAUAAGGUCAAGUCUGCAUUAAGUAUGUUGUCUAAGACACGACAGAUUGAUAUUUAAGCCACACUCCACUAUUUUGAGGGAAAUAGGGUGUUUUUACAAGCCCACAAGUGUUAAACAACUGAGUUUUAUCUUACUGAAUCCAUUCAGUCGAUCUCUGGGUUUGGCGGGAGCGCUAUUAGCUCAGUGCAGCACAAAUCAUUGAAUCGGAUUAGACCAUUAGCAUCUCGAUCAGUCAAAAAGUCAUUUUUUCUGUUUAAAACUUGACUCAUUUUGUAGUUAUGCUGUGUAAUAAGACUAAUGGAAAAUAAGUAGCUUGCUCUGGACUAUUUUCAAGGUUUGUAUAAUUUCAUUGUGCCUGCUGUAGCCAUGAUAUGGCAGCAAAGUUCCCUGAUUAUUACACCAGAACGAGAUUAUGGUUCCUAGACAUACCAGCCUCUAGAAAAUAGCUACUUUCCAUUUCCCAUCAGACUUUGUAGAUGUUGGAACUACAGACGAGUCUAGCUUUAAAUAGCAAAUAUCAAAACUCUUUUACAAUUUUAAAUGAGAUGCUAAUGGUCUAAUCUGAUUCAAUGAUUUAUGCUAAGCUAAAUGUGCUCCUGCCAGACUCGGAGAUUGACUGAAUGGAUUUAAAAAUGGUAAAACUCACCUACUUAACUCUAGGGGACGUGUAAAUCAAGACUUUUUCAAAAAAAACAAAAACAAAAGAAGAGCAGUGUUCCUUUAAUGGAUAUCCACUGCUUUAUUCAGUAUUUAGUUAAGUAAUCGAAUCAGUUUGUGUCGUUUGAUGGUACAGGAAACUUUGUGAAUUAAUGAAUGGAUGGGGUGUCCUGUCACUGGUAUAGUAGGUAACUGUAGCGGACCACUGCUGUUUGUACACAUGGUGCUUUUCUCAUGUAGACUCUGCAUAUGUCGUCUGCAUAAUUCUGGCUGAUUUGAGUCCAGUCUAUAAUGCUUAGGCCUAUGCGAGUCUGGAUGUGUGUGUGUGCUUACAUCGCCUUGCUUUGGUCUGCGAGUCAAAUGGUUUUGUGACUUUUUUUUAUUGCGCUUACUAAUGAUUUUGAAUCUAAAAUGGACAGAUUUAGUAUCAUGCAAACCAACUGUUGUAAAGGUUUUGAGUGUUUGAUUGAAAUGCCUUCCGCUUUGCAACAUCUGAGUUGUUCAGAAAAUGUCAGAGGGAUUUUUUUGGCCACUGUCUGUGAAUGAAACAAUCAACUUGUGGUUAGUGCAGACAUUAGUGUAAUGUCAUAUGAAAAGAUCUUCAGGUUUUACAUUUGUUUAAAGAAUGAGGAAUGAAACUCAGGUCCUGGAUUUUUCUCUUUCACUGAUGCCAAAUAUUUACGUCUACUGUGCAAGAACUAUAUUUUACUGUCGUUUCUUUUAGUCUCUCCGUGAGUGGAGUUGUUUCACAUUUCUUUUUAUAAUUGAAUUUGUCCAUUUUAACUGCAUUAGAUUAUGGUUGGUUGGUUGGUAAAGAUCAGUGUUAUAAAAAAAUAAUUACAUGUUUCUCCCUUUUUUAUCUUCAGAGCUUGUAAAAUUGUAAUCAUGUUACACACAAUUUGCAUUGUAAGUGCCUUUUUCAUUUUUGCAUCAAGCCCACUGUCUUUUGUUUCUACUAGUUAUUUAUUGAAAUAAAGAACCCAAAACACUGGA
Danio rerio (zebrafish) is the source of this 5504-nucleotide non-coding RNA. NCBI's taxonomy places the organism in Eukaryota, Metazoa, Chordata, Actinopteri, Cypriniformes, Danionidae. The record is from RefSeq and is a predicted model, not a curated record.